RNAcentral lists this ribosomal RNA (348 nucleotides) under Escherichia coli. RNAcentral describes it as "bacterial SSU rRNA". It matches the Rfam family "Bacterial small subunit ribosomal RNA", at positions 1 to 345 of the family's 1533-position model. Lineage: Bacteria; Pseudomonadati; Pseudomonadota; Gammaproteobacteria; Enterobacterales; Enterobacteriaceae. The record is from RNAcentral.
AAAUUGAAGAGUUUGAUCAUGGCUCAGAUUGAACGCUGGCGGCAGGCCUAACACAUGCAAGUCGAACGGUAACAGGAAGCAGCUUGCUGCUUCGCUGACGAGUGGCGGACGGGUGAGUAAUGUCUGGGAAACUGCCUGAUGGAGGGGGAUAACUACUGGAAACGGUAGCUAAUACCGCAUAAUGUCGCAAGACCAAAGAGGGGGACCUUCGGGCCUCUUGUCAUCGGAUGUGCCCAGAUGGGAUUAGCUUGUUGGUGGGGUAACGGCUCACCAAGGCGACGAUCCCUAGCUGGUCUGAGAGGAUGACCAGCCACACUGGAACUGAGACACGGUCCAGACUCCUACGGG